RNAcentral lists this ribosomal RNA (441 nucleotides) under uncultured bacterium. RNAcentral's name for it is "partial 16S ribosomal RNA". It matches the Rfam family "Bacterial small subunit ribosomal RNA", at positions 338 to 795 of the family's 1533-position model. The record is from RNAcentral.
CCUACGGGAGGCAGCAGUGGGGGAUAUUGCACAAUGGGGGGAACCCUGAUGCAGCGACGCCGCGUGGGUGAAGGAGCGUUUCGGCGCGUAAAGCCCUAUCGGCAGGGAAGAAGGAGGACGGUACCUGACCAAGAAGACCCGGCUAACUACGUGCCAGCAGCCGCGGUAAUACGUAGGGGGCAAGCGUUAUCCGGAUUUACUGGGUGUAAAGGGGGCGCAGACGGCAGCGCAAGCCAGGAGUGAAAGCCCGGGGCCCAACCCCGGGACUGCUCUUGAAACUGCGCGGCUGGAGUGCAGGAGAGGCAGGCGGAAUGCCUGGUGUAGCGGUGAAAUGCGUAGAUAUCGGGAGGAACACCGGUGGCGAAGGCGGCCUGCUGGACUCCGACUGACGUUGAGGCCCGAAAGCGUGGGGAGCAAACAGGAUUAGAUACCCCAGUAGUC